CUCAGAACAUCCCGCGAAAGGGCCACGCAGCCUUUUCCCUCCUCCUACGCAGCUUGUAACGUUUUUUGGAAAGACUCUGUCAGGUCUUUGGAGCCUUGUCGGUUUCAAAGGCCCCCCGACCUUUUAAUAACCACUUUCCGGCCUUAUCGGAAUGCUUCCUAAUUCACCCCCUUCUGUCCUGAAAAAUAUCUAAAUCCUAUUUAAGUUAAUGCCCUUCAUUUUCAUUUAUAAAGACAGAUACAAAAUAAUUAUUUCCUAUCUCCACUGUUUCCUUAUCUUCUGUCCUAAUAAUUCUUCACUGUCUCCCUUUCAUCAUCUGUCUACUGCAGGAAACUUUUUUCUGCUCGCUAAAAUAUUCCAGGCUCAUCUUCUUUGACGGCGCCUUUAAUCUCUUCUUCCCACCACUCUUCCCUCCCAUCGCCAAGACCCUCCAGAAGACCCCGUAUCCCCACUCAGAUGUUUGUCUUGUGGUUGAGCAAGUGGAUGUGUAAUUGCCAGCUGCCCACUUCUUCAAGUGGAGCCUUUGAUGUCCAAGGAGCCCUACCUUGUGCAAAUGUUUUGCAUAAACAGACUCUCUUCUGAAAAUGAGCACUCUUCCCUUCACCUCACAUGAAAGUGGCACUUGCAGAUGUAUCUCCUGGCUAUCAUUUGAAGUGUCUGAUUAAAAGGAGACCAGGAAGAGGAGCCCCUGCAGAAGAGAAGCCUGCCAGCUCCCAAAAGGAGAAGCUGCGCUUGUCCACUGCUGCCAUCAGAAGCUCCAUGAGAACAGACAAUGCCUGGCAUGGGUAAGAAAGGCCACCAACACCCAACCCAACAUUUCCUGGAAGGCUUUUCACUGUUAGUUAUUGUGCUGGGCUGAAGUCACAACAGGAAGGAGGAAGGGACCCACAUGAAAACGGACACAUCCCCAUCAGACAACUCAAAAGUUAACUUUGGCCCCUCUGAGGUGCCCUUCCAUCCCAUCUUCUGCAAGAAUUUCUCUUUGCAAUGAUCUCGUCUGAAUGUCACUGUAAGCUUGCAUGGACUAGAGUGGGAGCUCUCAAACUUCGGCCCCCCAGAAGUUGUAGGAGUACAACUCCCAUCAUCCUCAGCUGUGGCCAAGUAGACUGUUUAAGUAGACCUUGGGCAUGAUGGGAGGGACAACAAGAAGAGCUACAAGUGAUCUGGCAAUCUUGGAAGGGAAGCAAAAGAAAGGGAUGGUUUGACUGCCCAGAAAAAGGAAGAGGAGGGUUAAUAUGCUCAUGGCUUUCAAAUAAUUACAAGAACCUUGGCUAGAAGAGCUGAAACGGUCUUUCCCCUACUCACCAGGACAGAACAGGAGACAAAGUACAGAAAGGUGGAGCUAGACUACCCAUUCAGGAGGACAGUCUCCAGGCAUUUCAGCCAUUGAGCAGGAGAACUUCCCAAUGGCUCAUGCCCGACUUCUCUAACCUUUUCUGCAAGUUGUAUUCUGGAGAGAGCAUGUGAAUGUUGUCCCUCAAUCCAGCCGGAGGAUUCCACAGGAAUGGCUCCCAGUGCUAGGAAAAGCCCAGAACAACUUAGCCUGCAAAAGGAACGAGUCCAGCUCAUCUGCGGACUUUCUCUGUUUACCGCCAGUCCAUCUGGGCCCUGGGGGCUGUUCAGGCUCUUGAGGAGAUCACGCUGGACUGACCACGCGCAGAGACUUCUGCUGCAAAAGGAAAAAGGUGAGAAGGAAGAAGCGUCGGCAUCUCACUUUGCAGGCCAGGCACAAAUAGUGCUGUAGCGGCUGGUGCUCUGGUCGCCUUCUCCUCUGUCACAACUGUAAAGAGCAUGAAAACGUGCCAGCUGCAAAUUCAGGGCUGUUUGGUGGGCCCUGAACUCCAAAGACAGGCCACCAUCCAAAUAUACCCUCGUCUCCAUGCCAAGCACCUUUCCAACGUGCUGCCUGGACUAAACAACAUCAUGUUAACAGGAACGGACAACCGAGCAGAGACACCAGCAGCACGCCCGUCACAAACAUGCAUAUUCCCUCUGACAGCCAGAGUUGGUGCAGAGACGCCUGGUUGCCAGAGACUGAAGUAGAAAAGUCUGACUGGCUAGAAUAACACAGACCGUCACUUGGUCUCGUGCCUUCAGUGGGGUCUCCAGUUCCACAGAGGAAGCCACACAUUCUUCCUAGAGAACCCUUAAAUCCUGAGGUUGGAAUUCACUGCAUCAUUUCAGUGUCCAUUUUCCCCUCUGCUUGCAUGCAUUCUUUCAGUCCAUAAUGUGUGCAGUUUUGCAGAAUCCCUUUUACAUGCACAAAUAUGUCAAUAGUACUGGAAUGAAGGGGAAACAUACUUGAA
Hemicordylus capensis (graceful crag lizard) is the source of this 2306-nucleotide long non-coding RNA. RefSeq lists it as uncharacterized. The record is from RefSeq and is a predicted model, not a curated record. The transcript is spliced from 3 exons. NCBI's taxonomy places the organism in Eukaryota, Metazoa, Chordata, Lepidosauria, Squamata, Cordylidae.